Molecule: long non-coding RNA, 1646 nt
Filed under: Anolis carolinensis (green anole)
Lineage: Eukaryota; Metazoa; Chordata; Lepidosauria; Squamata; Anolidae
Description: lncRNA (ENSACAG00000037173.1)
Source: RNAcentral
UUCGGGCAGAAUCCUGAACAAAUGUCUUGUUCGAAGUUGACUGGAAGCAGGAAUAAAAAUGUGUUUGUGUGCUUCAUCCUAAGAUAUAGCUACAAUUGACAUAUUAGAGAUGUCUCCCAGUAAUUGAAGUAUUCUAUAUGUUUUUCCAAACAUUAUUUCUAUGGGAUGUUAUAGUACCUUAGAAGCUAAGAAGCAUUUUGUAGCAGAGAUUAACUGAAAGAAAAAAAAGUUGGUAGCAUAAGCUUUUAUAAACUACUUAGAUUUAGGAUCAGCCUUCUAUCUCACCAAAAUCACAUUAGUUAGGGGAAUGGAAACAUUCCAGGAUAAGUAUGUUCAUUAUCUCACAUUUCCACAGUAGCGCUAUGGUGUUGGUUUGGUGAUCUACAGUCACACAUUCUAUCAAGACAUAGUCACAGGUUUUAUCCAUCAACACAGAGAUGUGCUACUUUUGUGAAGGAAGGAAAAUCUGCAUCAGGAUGCGCACAACAUCAUGUGAUAGCUACCAGCAAUCAUUAAGGUCAUCCUGCUGCCAGUUUGCAAGCCUUGUGUAAUAAUGUCCUUGGCCAAAGAAAGCUUAUGCUACUUUAGACAGGGCUGAAACAUCUACCUAACAGCAUCCUUCAGUUGGUACUGGAGGCUAAGAUGAGCCCUGAAACUGAGCAGGAGGGCAAACAACAGACAAUAAUUUUGGCCAAAGUUUCUACCAAACAUCAGCACUGACUCCAACCUAUUCACAUCACAGGCCAAUAUAAAUAAAGUUUGUUUUAAGCCCCAGUAUUUCAUAGAACAUCAGAGUCAGCAGAGAAAGCAACAAAGCAUAUAUGAACAGUAUAUAAUACAUUGUAAGGUAAUCCUUAUGCAAGGUCUAUAUGACAGAAUGUAGCCUGAGACUGUUGUUUAAGAAUCAUAGAAUCAUAGAAUAGUAGAGUUGGAAGAGACCUCAUGGGCCAUCCAGUCCAACCCCCUGCCAAGAAGCAGGAAAUCGCAUUCAAAGCACCCCCGACAGAUGGCCAUCCAGCCUCUGCUUAAAAGCCUCCAAGGAAGGAGCCUCCACCACAGCCCGGGGGAGAGAGUUCCACUGUCGAACAGCCCUCACAGUGAGGAAGUUCUUCCUGAUGUUCAGGUGGAAUCUCCUUUCCUGUAGUUUGAAGCCAUUGUUGGAAGUCAUAGGGAGGAGGGAGCAAGCUUGUUUUCUGCUGCCCUGCAGACUAGGACACGGAACAAUGGCUUCAAACUACAGGAAAGGAGAUUCCACCUGAACAUCAGGAAGAACUUCCUCACUGUGAGGGCUGUUCGACAGUGGAACUCUCUCCCCCGGGCUGUGGUGGAGGCUCCUUCCUUGGAGGCUUUUAAGCAGAGGCUGGAUGGCCAUCUGUCGGGGGUGCUUUGAAUGCGAUUUCCUGCUUCUUAGCAGGGGGUUGGACUGGAUGGCCCAUGUGGUCUCUUCCAACUCUACUAUUCUAUGAUUCUAUGAAAGGCGAAGAGAUCCUGAGACCCUCUUUACCCUAGCCCUGAGCUGCUAUCAAAAAGGUCUAUAACUAUCUAAGCUCAAAGCUAGUUUUUGAGGCAAAGUUGGUAGGGCCUAUUCCAGUGGCAAAGAAAUCCAGAGAUGUUCUUUGCCCCAGUGUUAAGCUACUAGAAAGAAC